This 538-nucleotide ribosomal RNA is filed under the name uncultured bacterium. RNAcentral's name for it is "partial 16S ribosomal RNA". It matches the Rfam family "Bacterial small subunit ribosomal RNA", at positions 354 to 900 of the family's 1533-position model. The record is from RNAcentral.
UGGGGGAAUAUUGCACAAUGGGCGAAAGCCUGAUGCAGCGACGCCGCGUGCGGGAUGAAGGCCUUCGGGUUGUAAACCGCUUUUAAUUGGGAGCAAGCGAGAGUGAGUGUACCUUUUGAAUAAGCACCGGCUAACUACGUGCCAGCAGCCGCGGUAAUACGUAGGGUGCGAGCGUUAUCCGGAAUUAUUGGGCGUAAAGAGCUCGUAGGCGGUUUGUCACGCCUGGUGUGAAAGUCCAUCGCUUAACGGUGGAUCUGCGCCGGGUACGGGCAGGCUAGAGUGCAGUAGGGGGAGAUUGGAAUUCCCGGUGUAACGGUGGAAUGUGUAGAUAUCGGGAAGAACACCAAUGGCGAAGGCAGAUCUCUGGGCUGUUACUGACGCUGAGGAGCGAAAGCAUGGGGAGCGAACAGGAUUAGAUACCCUGGUAGUCCAUGCCGUAAAACGGUGGAUGCUGGAUGUGGGACCCUUCCACGGGUUCCGUGUCGGAGCUAACGCGUUAAGCAUCCCGCCUGGGGGAGUACGGCCGCAAGGCUAAAAC